Molecule: long non-coding RNA, 448 nt
Organism: Brienomyrus brachyistius
Lineage: Eukaryota; Metazoa; Chordata; Actinopteri; Osteoglossiformes; Mormyridae
Exons: 4
Source: RefSeq, a predicted model, not a curated record
AAGAUAAUGAUUUCCCAAGCCACUUAUCCUUCUGGGUCGUGGGGGGUCUGUAGCCUAUCCUGGAAGCUACAGGAAUGAGGUUUGGAUUGGCAACCUUGUAAUCUCAGAUACCAAAUCCUAAACCACCAAGGCAGAUGCUGAGCAUUCUGUAUACAGUGGAUUGUAUGCAAGAUUUCAUUUCUCUCUGAUGAAGCACAGACUAUGGUGGAGGCUGGAGUCCCGAGAGGAAGACCAUGUGACCUACACAGGAACUGCACACACUGGGCAGGAGCAGGCUGAACUGUCACCCCUGCCCUGCUGCCUGUGACGUCUCUCCCACCUGCCCUGCUGCCUGUGACGUCUCUCCCGCCUGCCCUGGUGCCUGUGACGUCUCUCCCGCCUGCCCUGCUGCCUGUGACGUCUCUCCCGCCUGCCCUGGUGCCUGUGACGUCUCUCCCACCUGCCCUGG